AAUUAUUUCAGAGACAGACCAAGGCCACAGAUGAUGUAAUCAGCAUAACAAACAAUGACUAUGGGAAGGAAUGGAUGAUGCUACUUUGAAUUAGAAAGGAUUCUUUGAAGAGUGACUAUUCCUUCACUGAAUAAUUAGUGCUUUCUGUGUUUUAGGCAUUGAUCUAUGAACUGAGGCUUCUGGAAGUGAAGAGACAGAAGUUCUAGCACUCAUGAAGCUUGCAUUCACUAGGCAAGACAGACAAACCACAACCAUGAGAAACAAUCAUGAUGUAUCAGAGGACAGUAAGUGCUAAGAUAAGGGGACCAAUAAUUAUGGAGGCAGGGAUGGUACCAUUUACAUCUGUCAAGGUAGAUCUUAUUAAGAAGACAGCACUCCAAGUCAAGAAUUAAGAGAAGCAAAAAGUCUUCUAGUUUUCUUCGAUAAAUGAAAACUUAUUCUAUGUUCCUACAUUAACCAAAUUAUUUUAACUGCCUUCCUACUUCUCUCCUAACUGAAAGCCAAAAAGUUUUCACAACAUCCAUAUAUACAGGAGGAGGAACGUUUGCUUUAUUGAAACACAAAAAUUUGUCACUACAUAAAAUGAAAAAUGAGAUCUUAUUAUUAGCCAAUGUUUUUAAUCCUUCUAUUUAAAAAUAUUUAACAUCAUUUGCUUUAAUGUUUUCAUUCAUUCAUCUCUCCUACCCUUGAAUCUCCUUUUUUUCUUUUAAACGUCUUUUGAACUUCUCUUCCACUAUAUAUUCUCUUCUGGCAGGGUCCUGGUGUGUUGAAGAAGUUUGGCAUCUGUAUCUCUCCCCGUCCUCUUUGUAAAUUCACAUUUUGGAAAAAAAAAAUAAGGGUAUUUAGAAGAAAAAAAGUACUCCUAUUUUACAUGAAUUAAUGUAGAUGUGGUAUUAUUCCCCAAGUCAAAACUCACUCUUGAUCAUAAGCUGCCUACACAGAAAAAGCUUCUUGUACAGAGUCUGAAUGCCAGGAAGGAUUACUUGCUAUCUUUCUCUCAACUUGGUUUCAUAAAUAAUCAGAAUCAAAUCUCUACAUAUGAGAUCCAAGGAAUGAUAGACACACAACAGGAAACUUUAUCAUACUCUUUGGUGCCACUCUGAGCACCUAGGGACUUUCCAGAUUUCGUCUAUAAUGCAGUGGAUAUCUUGGAGUUGAAAAAAAGGCUCUGAGCUCUUCUAGCUUCACUUCAGAAGCUGCAAUUCAGAACAUAUGGACGUUAGGGACCAACAAAGACGAGGCAAAGAGAAACAAGGUUCUACCACAAACUUGAAAGACCCAGGCUUGCAAGAAGAAAAUUAAAACUUUAUUCCCAUCAGUUACAUGUUGACAAGAACUUGUAAAGAAAAUGAUCAUUCCAUUAAGUUUGUUCUAUUUUCUUGAAAUGUAAUUGUAGAUUUUAAAUUAAUUUUAACUGAAUUUUUAAAAGAUUUCUCAGAAAAUUAUUCGUAUUUUGGGGGCAAGUGAUUACAUUCAUAGAACUAGUGACUGAGGUCAAGCAAAAGAGAACUUGCUGAAAUAAGGGAGGUCUCUCACUCUAGAACUUGCUAAGUCCAAGGGCACAUUUAGACCUGUGAGUACCUGCUGCAGUUUUGGUGCCAAUAGCGCUCUGGUUCACUGAUUUUGCAAUCAGCUUUUCCUCCUAAUAGUCCCAUUUAGGCUUCAUCCUUGACUAUUCCUUCUUUCCCUAUGUUUAUUCCUCAGACAAAAUUUUCUAAGCAAUUACAAAAGGAAAUAUCCUAUAUAUAUUUAUAUUCUAAUAUGUGGAUUAGUGAAUACAUACACUAUCUCAUAAGUUCUGCCCUACAGAAAUUAAUCUAGUAAAAGGAAGCAUAUUCAUAAAAAUACUUUUAUGAACAUUAAAUAUGAUAAGUGGCCUAAGGAUAAUGAAGUGCUGCAAGAAUUCAGGGUUCUAGCCAAGAUAGGUGGCGCACGCCUGUAAUUCCAGUGGCUCAGGAGGCUGAGGCAGGAGGAUAGCAAGUUCAAAGCCAGCCUCUGCAACUUAGCGAGGCCCUAAGCAACUCAGUGAGACCCUAUCUCUAAAUAAUAUACAAAAAAGGGCUGGGGAUGUGGCUUAGUGGUUGAGACCCUCCUGGGUUUAAUCCCCAGUACUCCCCUGCAAAAAAUUUAAGAAUUCUAGUCCAUUGCUUAGUCCUGUUAUUUCUUGGUAAAUUAUUUUUAUUUGUUAAAUAUUAAACAGAUAUUUUCCAGGUCUAUUUUAAGAGCAAACUAAAUGAUCUCUCUGUCUGUAUUCUUCCUCCACCAGGCUCUCUAAUUUGAGCAUGGUGAGUAAAACAAAAUAAUUAAGUUCCUUCCCUAUGCAAAACAACUGAAGUAGUGCAGCUUUCACGGUGUUUCAGAAUCUGGAUCCAAAAGGUCUGUCCAAUAUUUUUUUUUUCUCUCUCUCUGGACCCUCUAUGACAAAUCUGCCUAGAAAGGUGAGUUAGUACAAAAAUCACAUAGAGUCAUGAGUUCCCAGCCAGUCACUGCUUUUUUAUAAAUAAGAAUAACAAUCUCAAAACCAUUGCUAUAAUUUGCUAAUUCCCUAGUAUAAAAAGCAAGUGGUAGUAGUGGUUGAAGGUUAACAUGGCAUAAUCCUAACAUUUAUCUCAUAAAAUAGUCAUAGAAAACAAACAAACACCCUAUCAAAAAAAAUUCAAAGUUCUUAGGCAUGCAUAAGCAUUUCUGUGCAUACAUAGAAAUAUCUUUUUACAUUUUUUAAUAUUUAUUUUUUAGUUGUAGGUGGGCACACAAUCUUUAUUUCAUUUUUAUGUGGUGCUUAGUAUUGAACCCAGUGCCUCACGUGUGCUAGGCAAGCACUCUACCACUGAGUCACAACCCUAGCCCCCUUCUUUACUUUAACAUUCAUUUUUUAAUAGCCUGAAUGGAACUCAAAGAAUACAUUGGUGUUGUGGCCAACCAUCACCACAACUUAAUGACCUUUAUCUUGAGUCAGAUCCCCCUCCCCACCUUUCUAAGUAUUUUCUAGGUAUUAACUUAGGUAGUCAUUGACAUCAUUCAUUUAACUCAGAUCAUUGAAACUGAAGAUUUCAGGACUUUGGACCCAUGUCUUCUCUUCAUCUCAGCCUUCAUUCUAGAUUUACUUUUAAUUCAAAUCAGCGUCACUCCAAGCAUUCAUUCUUUGACUCCUAUAUUGCCAGACAAAUGCUCCUGGGUCACUCCUCCUCAUUCCUAGACUAUUUAGUGGUUAUUUGCUCCAACAUUACUUUUGUCAUACUUCUUGGUGAUUUCAAUAGCUAUGUAGACAAUGGUUCCAGCAGUGAAGCUUCCCAAUUCCUCAAUUUUCCUACAAUGAGCUCAUUUUCCACCUGGCCUUGGCCAUUCAUCCCAAUGGUCAGCCUCUAGAGACUUGGUCAAUAGCAAUAACUCCAAGCCUUCCACAAGUGUGUUCAGGCUCUUGCCCCUGUUGACCUCCCUGGAAGGCUAUAACAAAGAUGACAGAGAAGAACCCCACUUAGAUGCAGAGGUGGAUGGUGUGGAUGAAGACAAGGAGGAUGACGAGGAAAAUGAGAAGGAUGAGGAGGAAGAGCUUGAUGAAGAUGAAAAUGUAGAAGGGAAAGAUAAUAAAGUUGAAGUCAUUGGGGAGGAAGAAUUUAGGCAUGAGGGAGCAGUAGAUAAAGAUGAAGAUGAGGAUGAAGAGGAAGAAAGUGAGAAAGGUGAAAAGAGAAAGAGAAACAGAUGAUGAAGGAGAAGAUGAUUAAGACCCCAGAUAAACUGCAAAACCGGAACUGUUCAGUAUAGAUUGGACUGCAUAUGGAUUUGAUAGAUGUUUUAAAAAAUGGUAGCUGUGAUACAAACCCCUGGACACCCACCCAUCCAAAGAGCCAAAGAAGUUCCUGUGACAUUCUGCCUUCCUCCUUUUAGUGCCUCUUGGUAAUCCACCAAGCUUAAGGACUUUGCCCCAACAAAAUUGUAAGCAUUGUUACGUUUUUUUGGGGGGCAAGACUUGCUGUAGCAUGGAUAGCUGUGAUUGACGCGUCAACCAUCCGUGGCUACCAGUUAUACCAAAAUUAUAACAGCAUUUUUACUUUCUGUACAACAAACAUGCAUUGUAAAUAAAAUCUUAACAUUUUGGGUCAAAAAAUAAGUUUUAAAAAAGUAUCACUCUCUUGAACCAAAAUCUUCCAUCUUUUCAGCUCCCCACCCAACACUCUACCUUUGAGAUUUGUAAUUUAUCUCUUGUUUAUCCAAAACCCAUCUCUCAUUCAUAUUUCAUUCUUUACCUAUCUUAAAUUUCAGAGCUGAGGUUGUGGCUCAGUGAUAGAGCAUUUGCCUAGUACAUGUGAGGCACUGGGUUUGAUCCUCAGCGCCACAUAAAAAUAAAUAAAGAUAUUGUGUCCGUCUACAACUAAAAAUACUUUUUAAAAAUUUCAAUGAUCAUUUUAAUCACUUCUUCACACACUUUACAUUCUCAUAUACUUGGGGAAGCUUCAUUAUGAUAUAAUAUCCACCCACUCUGAGUCUAUCUCUGUGUCUUCAGAGGAAAACAUACAUCCAGACUAACUGGGAAGUCUCUCCCUAAAUUCAUGAUCAUUCACCUUGGGGAAGGUCAGGCUGCUCAGCAACCCUACCACGCACGCCUUUCUAGCCCAAACACUAUCAUUUUUCUAAAGAAAAAUUUCAUACUUGCUGUUUCUCUUAAAAUUAAAUCAAACCCUCUUACAUACAUCCUUCUAUCAUCUGCUGAGAAAAUAGAAGCAAUCAGAAAAGAAUUUCCGCAAGCACCCAUACACCAGCACACCUGCAUCACUGCCUUAAAUAUCCUGCCUUUUAUCCAACAACUCUGUAUGAACUUUGCUUCUAUCCAAUACUACCCUUCCUUUUAAGAAGUAAGUCCCAGCCCCUUUCUUCUACUCAAGGCAGCACUCUAACAAUUCUACCUUCUCUUUCUUGCAUCCUCUUCAACUUUCUUCCAACUCCUACUAGUUGUCAUCUUGGGAGGAGUGCAUGUGGAGGUCGGGCAGAGGUGGUGAAAAAGACUAUAGUGUCCCAGAACUUUCAUACAAGUCUGUUACAGACUUCUAAUUCUCUGAUUACUCUUAACUUUUGAUUAAAAUAAAAAAUCCUAGUAGCAAACAUACACUGGCAAUUGUAGGAGAAUUAAGAGUAUUAUUAUCAUCAUCAUCAUCACCAUCAUUAUCAUCAUUUUUAUUUGCAGUGCUCAGAUCAAACCCAGGGCCUCACACACAGUAGGCAAGUACUCUACCACUGAGCCAUAUAUCCAGCCCAAGAGAGAUUCUGAUGCCAAUUUUGUUAAUCUUAUACACAGUGUUUACCAAGAAAGAUAUCUGGAAGUCUAAGGACCUUUAAACGGUAGGAGUAAAUGUCUCAGAGUUUAAAAUAAUCCUAUGCUAUUCCCCCAAAUUCAAGCACUUAUUCACAACUACAAGAUUUAUCACCUGCAACCACUAUAAUGUGGGAUGGAAAACAUCCCCAAACAAUGUGGCUCCUACCAACUAGAAAGAAACUACAGAGUUUGUGGCAUUCCAAAGAAAAAUUAGUGAAUCCAGGUUUACAAUGCUUUUUGCUCAAUUCUUUCUGGAUGUAUUAAUGAGAUAAUGUAUACACAUAUUACCUGGCCCAGAGGCACUGUCUGUUGGAAGUGUGGAUGUUGGCAAUUGUUUUCUUAAGGUUUUGCUUUUAUUUUUUGUUUGAAGUGAAGUAAUACCUGUAUUUGGGGAUAAUACAUUAAAAAUAAAGAUGAAAGCCUGAGGAAAAAAUGUACUCAGUCCCAAAGCAGCUACUAUAAAAAGAAAAUGCAAAUCUAGAAUUAAAGCAGCCUUAGGAAAAGUCAGUUUUACUCAAUUUUGACAAAGGGGGAAGUUAUUGUUAUAGAAUCUUGCAUUUUAAUAUGUUUAGAAACUAAAUGAAAUAUGAUUCUUUUCUCUAAUACUCAUUUAUACCAUACUUGACAAUCCUAAACCUACCCUAAAGAAGAGGCUAGAACUCCAGUGGCACAAUGGGUUAGCACGCAGUACUUAUAAGAAAGAGGCAUUGUUUUAUAAUAUAUAAGAGGGGUUGGAGGGGAAGGGAGAGGGCAUAGGGUAAUUAAUGAUGGUGAAAUGUGAUGAUUAUUACUAUCCAAAGUACAUGUACGAAGACACAAAUUGGUGUGAAUAUACUAUGUAUACAACCAGAGAUAUUAAAAAUUGUGCUCUUUCUAUAUAAUAAGAAUUGUAAUGCAUUCUAAUGUCAUAUAUAAAUUAAAAAUUACAUAAAAAUCUUACCCUUGAUUUUGGAUUGGAUCCAGUCCAAGAAAACCCUUACCCUGGCAAAUACACCUGGCUUCCAUGGCUGGAUGCAGCCAGCUCCCCAACUGACGAUGCCAUAGAGCACAAAGGGACUAUUUUCAUGUCUACAUACUAAUGGCCCACCAGAGUCUCCCUGAAAUAAGAAAAAAUGUUCCA
RNAcentral lists this long non-coding RNA (6428 nucleotides) under Marmota monax (woodchuck). The record is from RNAcentral. Lineage: Eukaryota; Metazoa; Chordata; Mammalia; Rodentia; Sciuridae.